Molecule: long non-coding RNA, 337 nt
Filed under: Rattus norvegicus (Norway rat)
Lineage: Eukaryota; Metazoa; Chordata; Mammalia; Rodentia; Muridae
Description: long non-coding RNA NONRATT031322
Source: RNAcentral
GAAUGAUGACAACAACACCAUGACGUCAUCCACUAAAAGGAACACCAAUCUAAAUCCAGUUUCCCCAGCGGCUUCUCUCGCCAAGAAACCUGGGAAGAGUCUCACUCUGUAGCCCAGACUGGAACUCAAAGGUGGCUUCAAACUCACCUGCCAAGUGCUUUGAUAGCAGGGGCUGAUAUAUCUUUGGCAUUCAGUUACACAUCACAGCAAAGGUCAUAGGGAGAAGAGUUGUCUUAAUCAGAUACAGAAUCUUCCCAGUCUGUUCAAGUCACCAUCAGCGGAUAGUUCCAAACUAAACCACACAUUCAUAGAUUACAAUAAAAGAAAGACGCAUGCA